This 404-nucleotide ribosomal RNA is filed under the name uncultured Paracoccaceae bacterium. Its description in RNAcentral is "bacterial SSU rRNA". It matches the Rfam family "Bacterial small subunit ribosomal RNA", at positions 378 to 774 of the family's 1533-position model. The record is from RNAcentral. Lineage: Bacteria; Pseudomonadati; Pseudomonadota; Alphaproteobacteria; Rhodobacterales; Paracoccaceae.
CAAGCCUGAUCCAGCCAUGCCGCGUGGGUGAAGAAGGCCUUCGGGUUGUAAAGCUCUUUCGGACGGAAAGAAAUCGCCGCCUCUAACAUAGGCGGUGGAUGACGGUACCGUAAGAAGAAGCACCGGCUAACUACGUGCCAGCAGCCGCGGUAAUACGUAGGGUGCGAGCGUUAAUCGGAAUUACUGGGCGUAAAGCGCACGUAGGCGGACUUUUAAGUCAGGGGUGAAAUCCCGGGGCUCAACCUCGGAACUGCCUUUGAUACUGGAAGUCUGGAGUCCGAGAGAGGUGAGUGGAACUCCGAGUGUAGAGGUGAAAUUCGUAGAUAUUCGGAAGAACACCAGUGGCGAAGGCGGCUCACUGGCUCGGUACUGACGCUGAGGUGCGAAAGCGUGGGGAGCAAACA